This 424-nucleotide ribosomal RNA is filed under the name uncultured prokaryote. RNAcentral describes it as "bacterial SSU rRNA". It matches the Rfam family "Bacterial small subunit ribosomal RNA", at positions 355 to 774 of the family's 1533-position model. The record is from RNAcentral.
UGGGGAAUCACGGUCAAUGGGCGAAAGCCUGAACCUGCGACGCCGCGUGAGUGAUGAAGGUCGUAAGAUCGUAAAACUCUUUUCAGGGAUCUUAAAGCACAACCGUCAACAACGGCUGUGUGUGACUCUCCCUGGAAUAAGCCCCAGCCAACUACGUGCCAGCAGCCGCGCUAAUACGUAGGGGGCUAGCGUUAUCCGGAAUUACUGGGCGUAAAGGGUGCGUAGGUGGUUUCUUAAGUCAGAGGUGAAAGGCUACGGCUCAACCGUAGUACGGCUUUGAAACUGGGAAACUUGAGUGCAGGGGAGGAGAGUGGAAUUCCCGGUGUAGUGGUGAAAUGCGUAGAUAUUAGGAGGAACACCAGUGGCGAAGGCGACCUACUAGACAGUGUCUGACGCUAAGAUACGAAAGCGUGGGGAGGAAACA